Molecule: ribosomal RNA, 467 nt
Filed under: uncultured bacterium
Lineage: Bacteria
Description: partial 16S ribosomal RNA
Rfam family: Bacterial small subunit ribosomal RNA
Source: RNAcentral
GAUGAACGCUGGCGGCGUGCUUAACACAUGCAAGUCGAACGGAAAGGCCUCUGCUUGCAGGGGUACUCGAGUGGCGAACGGGUGAGUAACACGUGGGUGAUCUGCCCUGCACUUCGGGAUAAGCCUGGGAAACUGGGUCUAAUACCGGAUAGGACAAUGGUUUGGAUGCUGUUGUGGAAAGUUUUUCGGUGUGGGAUGAGCCCGCGGCCUAUCAGCUUGUUGGUGGGGUAAUGGCCUACCAAGGCGUCGACGGGUAGCCGGCCUGAGAGGGUGUACGGCCACAUUGGGACUGAGAUACGGCCCAGACUCCUACGGGAGGCAGCAGUGGGGAAUAUUGCACAAUGGGCGCAAGCCUGAUGCAGCGACGCCGCGUGGGGGAUGACGGCCUUCGGGUUGUAAACCCCUUUCGCUAGGGACGAAGCGUUUUUGUGACGGUACCUGGAGAAGAAGCACCGGCUAACUACGUG